CGCAGUUUAAAAGUUUACUAGAGCGCUUGUGCAUGCUCAUAAGCAAAACAGCGUCCUUGUGUCUAGUUGUUUAUCUCGGUGACUGAGACUUUAUAUUGCGUCGAGUUGGAGCAAAUAACCGAAGAAGCUGGAAACAGGACACUGGCACAAAGCCUGUCUAUCUGUUUGUGUGAAGAAAGGGGAAGAAGAAAAGUGACUCUUUGUCAAAAAGAAACUGGAACCAAUUACGCCCAAUGCUAAGCGUGUCCACUGCGGAUAUUGCUGGCGUAUCCACGCUUGUAUAUACAACCCCUCAACCUCAGCCUUUCUCAAGGUCCAGUCCCACAUGGCAGCCCACACUGUUUUGUCAGCUCAUUCUGCAUCC
Molecule: long non-coding RNA, 364 nt
Organism: Cyprinus carpio carpio
Lineage: Eukaryota; Metazoa; Chordata; Actinopteri; Cypriniformes; Cyprinidae
Source: Ensembl